UGAUCUCCACAAACUUUGCACCGUGCCAUAAUUUGUAUCUGUUUAUUACGUCCACGUCAACCUUCAGUUGAUCCCACAAAAACCAAACACAUAUCAUAACUCCCUUUCGCCACUCAAGCAUCACAUUUUGGAUUUGAUGAAGGAGCUGGAACCCCUUGGUCGGCCCCAGCACACGCCAUGCGAAAUAAUAACAGGCCAUUCGCCUUGGAGCCGACCGCCCAAUCACUUGAUCACAUGUUAUGCAACCCAAAAGAUACAAAGAAACAGAGAGAGAGAGAGAGAGAGAGAGAGAGAGGCAGAGAAUAAUAAAAAUAAUAACAGUUUGGCGAGAGAAGAAAAACUACAUUUUCACGCAAGUGGAUGGAUGGAAGUGAAAUGAGCCGAUGACGACGAUGACGACGAUGAACGAACGAAAGCCAGUUGCAGUUUUCCCCCAAAACAGCAGCGUCUGCUGUCCGCUGUCUGCCUCUCGGCUAGCACACGCC
This 485-nucleotide long non-coding RNA is filed under the name Drosophila guanche. Lineage: Eukaryota; Metazoa; Arthropoda; Insecta; Diptera; Drosophilidae. The record is from RNAcentral.